CCCUUAGAUGUCCUGGGCCGCACGCACGUUACACUGAUGCAUUCAACGAGCUUAUAACCUUGGCCGAGAGGCCUGGGCAAUCUUGUUAACGUGCAUCGUGAUAGGGAUAGAUUAUUGAAAUUAUUAAUCUUGAACGAGGAAUUCCUAGUAAACGCAGAUCAUCAAUCUGCAUUGAUUACGUCCCUGCCCUUUGUACACACCGCCCGUCGCUCCUACCGAUUGAAUGAUCCGAUGAAUACCAUGGAUUGAGAGUUCGAAUAGGUUCGCCUAUUUCAGCUUCUCGAGAAGUGGAGUAAAUCUUAUCAUUUAGAGGAAGGAGAAGUCGUAACA
RNAcentral lists this ribosomal RNA (330 nucleotides) under uncultured eukaryote. RNAcentral describes it as "partial 18S ribosomal RNA". It matches the Rfam family "Eukaryotic small subunit ribosomal RNA", at positions 1470 to 1796 of the family's 1831-position model. The record is from RNAcentral.